CACGAACCGUACAAACGUUAUUCGGAAUUAUUGGGCUUAAAGGGUGCGUAGGCGGCGCUGUAGGUGGGGUGUGAAAUCCCUCGGCUUAACCGAGGAAUUGCGCCCCAAACCACAGUGCUAGAGGGAGACAGAGGUAAGCGGAACUGAUGGUGGAGCGGUGAAAUGCGUUGAUAUCAUCAGGAACACCGGUGGCGAAAGCGGCUUACUGGGUCUCUUCUGACGCUGAGGCACGAAAGCUAGGGUAGCGAACGGG
RNAcentral lists this unclassified non-coding RNA (253 nucleotides) under uncultured Pirellulaceae bacterium. RNAcentral describes it as "contains 16S-23S intergenic spacer region". It matches the Rfam family "Bacterial small subunit ribosomal RNA", at positions 524 to 776 of the family's 1533-position model. The record is from RNAcentral. Lineage: Bacteria; Pseudomonadati; Planctomycetota; Planctomycetia; Pirellulales; Pirellulaceae.